RNAcentral lists this ribosomal RNA (495 nucleotides) under uncultured bacterium. RNAcentral's name for it is "partial 16S ribosomal RNA". It matches the Rfam family "Bacterial small subunit ribosomal RNA", at positions 28 to 505 of the family's 1533-position model. The record is from RNAcentral.
GAUGAACGCUGGCGGCGUGCCUAAUACAUGCAAGUCGAGCGAACGGACGAGAAGCUUGCUUCUCUGAUGUUAGCGGCGGACGGGUGAGUAACACGUGGAUAACCUACCUAUAAGACUGGGAUAACUUCGGGAAACCGGAGCUAAUACCGGAUAAUAUUUUGAACCGCAUGGUUCAAAAGUGAAAGACGGUCUUGCUGUCACUUAUAGAUGGAUCUGCGCUGCAUUAGCUAGUUGGUAAGGUAACGGCUUACCAAGGCAACGAUGCAUAGCCGACCUGAGAGGGUGAUCGGCCACACUGGAACUGAGACACGGUCCAGACUCCUACGGGAGGCAGCAGUAGGGAAUCUUCCGCAAUGGGCGAAAGCCUGACGGAGCAACGCCGCGUGAGUGAUGAAGGUCUUCGGAUCGUAAAACUCUGUUAUUAGGGAAGAAAAUAUGUGUAAGUAACUGUGCACAUCUUGACGGUACCUAAUCAGAAAGCCACGGCUAACGACG